This 439-nucleotide ribosomal RNA is filed under the name uncultured Clostridium sp. Its description in RNAcentral is "bacterial SSU rRNA". It matches the Rfam family "Bacterial small subunit ribosomal RNA", at positions 338 to 795 of the family's 1533-position model. The record is from RNAcentral. Lineage: Bacteria; Bacillati; Bacillota; Clostridia; Eubacteriales; Clostridiaceae.
CCUACGGGGGGCAGCAGUGGGGAAUAUUGCACAAUGGAGGGAACUCUGAUGCAGCGACGCCGCGUGAGCGAUGAAGGCCUUCGGGUCGUAAAGCUCUGUCCUAUGGGACGAUAAUGACGGUACCAUAGGAGGAAGCCCCGGCUAACUACGUGCCAGCAGCCGCGGUAAUACGUAGGGGGCGAGCGUUGUCCGGAAUUACUGGGCGUAAAGGGUACGCAGGCGGCCAUGUAAGUCAGAUGUGAAAGGUCACGGCUCAACCGUGGUAAGCAUUUGAAACUGUGUGGCUUGAGUUAAGGAGAGGAAAGUGGAAUUCCUGGUGUAGCGGUGAAAUGCGUAGAUAUCAGGAGGAAUACCAGUGGCGAAGGCGACUUUCUGGACUUAAACUGACGCUGAGGUACGAAAGCGUGGGGAGCAAACAGGAUUAGAUACCCUAGUAGUC